AACGGACGCUGGCGGCAUGCCUAACACAUGCAAGUCGAACGAGACCUUCGGGUCUAGUGGCGCACGGGUGCGUAACGCGUGGGAACCUGCCCUUAGGUUCGGAAUAACUCCCCGAAAGGGGUGCUAAUACCGGAUAAUGUCUUCGGACCAAAGAUUUAUCGCCUUUGGAUGGGCGCGCGUUGGAUUAGCUAGUUGGGAGGGUAAAAGCCUACCAAGGGGACGAUCCAUAGCUGGUCUGAGAGGAUGGUCAGCCACACUGGGACUGAGACACGGCCCAGACUCCUCCGGGAGGGAGGAGUGGGGGAUAGUGGAAAGUGGGGUGAAGGCUGAACCACGAAUGACCGGUGAGGUAUGAAAGUCUUUAGGUUGGUAAGCUUUUUUACCCGGGCAGAUAAUGACAGUACCGGGAGAAAAAGCCCCGGGUAACUCCGUG
This 433-nucleotide ribosomal RNA is filed under the name uncultured bacterium. RNAcentral's name for it is "partial 16S ribosomal RNA". It matches the Rfam family "Bacterial small subunit ribosomal RNA", at positions 29 to 507 of the family's 1533-position model. The record is from RNAcentral.